Exaiptasia diaphana is the source of this 295-nucleotide long non-coding RNA. RefSeq lists it as uncharacterized. Lineage: Eukaryota; Metazoa; Cnidaria; Anthozoa; Actiniaria; Aiptasiidae. The transcript is spliced from 3 exons. The record is from RefSeq and is a predicted model, not a curated record.
UGUUUUUAUUAGUCAUGGUUCUAUUUCCAGGCACGACCAGGAACACUGGUGUUUGAUCCUUUUGUUGGGACGGGCAGUACUUUAUUAUCAUGUGGACAUUUUGGUUCAAGAGUGUUUGGUAGUGACAUUGAUAAAAACUUGAUAACAGGAAGAGGGAAAUCAUCACGUGCAUCAAGCAAGUGCAAGUGGAGAAAAAGAGAUGAAAUAAUUCGCACUAAUUUCAUAAAUGCUGGCUUGGAGCAUUUGUUUGUGGAUGUUAUUGUGGCCGAUGCUUCCAGGCAAGUACUUCGACCAA